AGAGUUUGAUCAUGGCUCAGAUUGAACGCUGGCGGCAGGCUUAACACAUGCAAGUCGAACGGUAGCAGGAGAAAGCUUGCUUUCUUGCUGACGAGUGGCGGACGGGUGAGUAAUGCUUGGGAAUCUGGCCUAUGGAGGGGGGAUAACGACGGGAAACUGUCGCUAAUACCGCGUAUUAUCGGAAGAUGAAAGUGCGGGACUGAGAGGCCGCAUGCCAUAGGAUGAGCCCAAGUGGGAUUAGGUAGUUGGUGGGGUAAAGGCCUACCAAGCCUGCGAUCUCUAGCUGGUCUGAGAGGAUGACCAGCCACACUGGAACUGAGACACGGUCCAGACUCCUACGGGAGGCAGCAGUGGGGAAUAUUGCGCAAUGGGGGGAACCCUGACGCAGCCAUGCCGCGUGAAUGAAGAAGGCCUUCGGGUUGUAAAGUUCUUUCGGUAUUGAGGAAGGUUGAUGUGUUAAUAGCACAUCAAAUUGACGUUAAAUACAGAAGAAGCACCGGCUAACUCCGUGCCAGCAGCCGCGGUAAUACGGAGGGUGCGAGCGUUAAUCGGAAUAACUGGGCGUAAAGGGCACGCAGGCGGUUAUUUAAGUGAGGUGUGAAAGCCCCGGGCUUAACCUGGGAAUUGCAUUUCAGACUGGGUAACUAGAGUACUUUAGGGAGGGGUAGAAUUCCACGUGUAGCGGUGAAAUGCGUAGAGAUGUGGAGGAAUACCGAAGGCGAAGGCAGCCCCUUGGGAAUGUACUGACGCUCAUGUGCGAAAGCGUGGGGAGCAAACAGGAUUAGAUACCCUGGUAGUCCACGCUGUAAACGCUGUCGAUUUGGGGGUUGGGGUUUAACUCUGGUGCCCGUAGCUAACGUGAUAAAUCGACCGCCUGGGGAGUACGGCCGCAAGGUUAAAACUCAAAUGAAUUGACGGGGGCCCGCACAAGCGGUGGAGCAUGUGGUUUAAUUCGAUGCAACGCGAAGAACCUUACCUACUCU
This 983-nucleotide ribosomal RNA is filed under the name Haemophilus influenzae. RNAcentral describes it as "bacterial SSU rRNA". It matches the Rfam family "Bacterial small subunit ribosomal RNA", at positions 8 to 981 of the family's 1533-position model. Lineage: Bacteria; Pseudomonadati; Pseudomonadota; Gammaproteobacteria; Pasteurellales; Pasteurellaceae. The record is from RNAcentral.